AAGGAUCAUUAAUGAGAGGGGGGCUUCGCGCUCCAGGGGGGUUACUCCCCGCACCUUUCCACCCUUUGUUGUACCUUCCAUGUUGCUUUGGCGGGCCCCGGGGGGUUAAUCCCUGGCGCUGGUCCCCUAACUGGGGGUUGGCGAGUGCCCGUCGAAGGCCCAUCAAAAAUCUUUUUUUUUAUCAGUGAAGUCCGAGUACAAAACAAAUCAAUUAAAACUUUCAACAACGGAUCUCUUGGUUCUGGCAUCGAUGAAGAACGCAGCGAAAUGCGAUAAGUAAUGUGAAUUGCAGAAUUCAGUGAAUCAUCGAAUCUUUGAACGCACAUUGCGCCCUUGGGAAUUCCUAGGGGCAUGCCUGUUCGAGCGUCAUUAAACCCCUCAAGCAUUGCUUGGUAUUGGGUGCUCGCCCCCCAAGGGCGCACCCCAAAUCUAGUGGCGGUCCAGGGAGACUUCGAGCGCAGUAAAUUACAAUUCGCUUUGGAAGCUUUUCUGCCUGUGGCCUCGCCAGCAACCCCCCCAAUCUUUAACCAAAUUGACCUCGGAUCAGGUAGGGAUACCCGCUGAACUUAA
RNAcentral lists this ribosomal RNA (570 nucleotides) under Blastenia ammiospila. RNAcentral describes it as "eukaryotic LSU rRNA". The stretch from base 216 to 369 matches the Rfam family "5.8S ribosomal RNA". Lineage: Eukaryota; Fungi; Ascomycota; Lecanoromycetes; Teloschistales; Teloschistaceae. The record is from RNAcentral.